This 87-nucleotide transfer RNA is filed under the name Aggregatibacter actinomycetemcomitans NUM4039. Its description in RNAcentral is "tRNA-Leu". The stretch from base 1 to 61 matches the Rfam family "tRNA", at positions 13 to 71 of the family's 71-position model. From Rfam's summary of the family: Transfer RNA (tRNA) molecules are approximately 80 nucleotides in length. The record is from RNAcentral. Lineage: Bacteria; Pseudomonadati; Pseudomonadota; Gammaproteobacteria; Pasteurellales; Pasteurellaceae.
CAGUUGGUAGAGCACGACCUUGCCAAGGUCGGGGUCGCGAGUUCGAGCCUCGUUUCCCGCUCCAAGCCCGAGUGGUGGAAUCGGUAG